GUGGGUUGCAAAAGAAGUAGGUAGCUUAACCUUCGGGAGGGCGCUUACCACUUUGUGAUUCAUGACUGGGGUGAAGUCGUAACAAGGUAACCGUAGGGGAACCUGCGGUUGGAUCACCUCCUUACCUGAAAGAA
Molecule: ribosomal RNA, 134 nt
Filed under: Escherichia coli
Lineage: Bacteria; Pseudomonadati; Pseudomonadota; Gammaproteobacteria; Enterobacterales; Enterobacteriaceae
Also listed under: 29 other names
Description: partial 16S ribosomal RNA
Rfam family: Bacterial small subunit ribosomal RNA
Source: RNAcentral